CUUUAAAAAUCUGGAUCAAGCUGAAAAUUGAAACACUGAACAACGAAAGUUGUUCGUGAGUCUCUCAAAUUUUCGCAACACUGAAUGAAACAUCUUCGG
RNAcentral lists this small RNA (99 nucleotides) under Escherichia coli. RNAcentral describes it as "Salmonella enterica Typhi npcRNA 44". It matches the Rfam family "Salmonella enterica Typhi npcRNA 44". Lineage: Bacteria; Pseudomonadati; Pseudomonadota; Gammaproteobacteria; Enterobacterales; Enterobacteriaceae. The record is from RNAcentral.